RNAcentral lists this long non-coding RNA (360 nucleotides) under Drosophila guanche. The record is from RNAcentral. Lineage: Eukaryota; Metazoa; Arthropoda; Insecta; Diptera; Drosophilidae.
CAGAUUUUACGCUUUCGCUAGUACCGAAAAGCGACUAAGCGCCAAACGAAUGGGCAUACCAUCAGCAUCGUUCCAGCUCCCGCGCCUGCUCCCCCUCCCACAGCUCACUCGUUCUGUUUGCUUUGCGGCUUUUUGGGGUUGUUGGAGAACAUGUCUGUGCAUGUCCGUUCAUGUCUGUACGUGUCUGUGCGCGUUUGUUUGUAUACACUUCGGCUUUGGCCUGCAAUUGGCGGGAAACUUUUGUGGAACGCAUUGGCAUUGUAGCAACAUACAAUGUGUUUUAGAUGAAAAAUUAUUAUUAAAGCCAACAAGAACAAAAACAGACUUUCAUUAACUUAUUAAUUGCCUAAUAAAUAUUAU